AUUGUACUCCCUCCGUCCGGAAAUACUUGUCAUCAAAAUGAAUAAAAGGGGAUGUAUCUAGAUGUAUUUUAGUUCUAGAUACAUCCCUUUUUAUCCAUUUUGAUGACAAGUAUUUUCGGACGGAGGGAGUAGAAC
Triticum aestivum (bread wheat) is the source of this 135-nucleotide non-coding RNA. The record is from Rfam. Lineage: Eukaryota; Viridiplantae; Streptophyta; Magnoliopsida; Poales; Poaceae.